GAUGAACGCUGACAGAAUGCUUAACACAUGCAAGUCAACUUGAACUUCGGUUUGGGUGGCGGACGGGUGAGUAACGCGUAAAGAACUUGCCUCACAGAUAGGGACAACAUUUGGAAACGAAUGCUAAUACCUGAUAUUAUGAUUUUAGGGCAUCCUAGGAUUAUGAGAGCUAUAUGCGCUGUGAGAGAGCUUUGCGUCCCAUUAGCUAGUUGGAGAGGUAACGGCUCACCAAGGCGAUGAUGGGUAGCCGGCCUGAGAGGGUGAUCGGCCACAAGGGGACUGAGACACGGCCCUUACUCCUACGGGAGGCAGCGGUGGGGAAUGUUGGACAAUGGACCAAGAGUCUGAUCCAGCAAUUCUGUGUGCACGAUGAAGUUUUUCGGAAUGUAAAGUGCUUUCAGUUGGGAAGAAAAAAAUGACGGUACCAACAGAAGAAGUGACGGCUAAAUACGUGCCAGCAGCCGCGGUAAUACGUAUGUCACAAGCGUUAUCCGGAUUUAUUGGGCGUAAAGCGCGUCUAGGUGGUUAUAUAAGUCUGAUGUGAAAAUGCAGGGCUCAACUCUGUAUUGCGUUGGAAACUGUGUAACUAGAGUACUGGAGAGGUAAGCGGAACUACAAGUGUAGAGGUGAAAUUCGUAGAUAUUUGUAGGAAUGCCGAUGGGGAAGCCAGCUUACUGGACAGAUACUGACGCUGAAGCGCGAAAGCGUGGGUAGCAAACAGG
This 722-nucleotide ribosomal RNA is filed under the name uncultured Fusobacterium sp. RNAcentral's name for it is "bacterial SSU rRNA". It matches the Rfam family "Bacterial small subunit ribosomal RNA", at positions 28 to 776 of the family's 1533-position model. Lineage: Bacteria; Fusobacteriati; Fusobacteriota; Fusobacteriia; Fusobacteriales; Fusobacteriaceae. The record is from RNAcentral.